RNAcentral lists this long non-coding RNA (389 nucleotides) under Phaseolus vulgaris (common bean). RNAcentral's name for it is "long non-coding RNA (PVUL_LNC004520)". The record is from RNAcentral. Lineage: Eukaryota; Viridiplantae; Streptophyta; Magnoliopsida; Fabales; Fabaceae.
UCACUACAAACUUACUUAAAACAAACGGAAGAUGACACGGGCACGAUUAAUAGAGGCCAUUAAUUAAUGCCUUAAAUAACACACUUCACAAUUUUCCCCAUGUGCUAGGGUGUCCUUAACUGCUUUCAACUGUAACCUUCACAGUUCUUUCCUAAUGAUAUUGGGAUAGCUGUAAAAUCCAGUUUUCCUUUUGAUGACCUAAAAAAGGCAAAAGGUGUUAAAUGUAAAGAAAAAGUUUUCUUUACACUGUACAGUGAAACACUUUCAUUUGACAACCCAAACAAUAAUAUAAUAAUAUUUUAUAUUAAAAAAUAAAUUAAAAUAUUAAUUUAAUGAACUGUAAAGUGGAUGUAUUUACUGUGAAGAGCAACCAUGCUUUAGCAUAUUGC